GUAGAGUGCGAGCGUUAAUCGGAAUUACUGGGCGUAAAGCGUGCGCAGGCGGUUCUGCAAGUCAGAUGUGAAAUCCCCGGGCUUAACCUGGGAACUGCGUUUGAAACUACGGAGCUAGAGUACGGCAGAGGGGGGUGGAAUUCCACGUGUAGCAGUGAAAUGCGUAGAUAUGUGGAGGAACACCGAUGGCGAAGGCAGCCCCCUGGGCCGAUACUGACGCUCAGGCACGAAAGCGUGGGGAGCAAACAGGAUUAGAUACCCUGGUAGUCCACGCCCUAAACUAUGUCAACUAGUUGUCGGGGAAGCAAUUCCUUGGUAACGAAGCUAACGCGUGAAGUUGACCGCCUGGGGAGUACGGUCGCAAGAUUA
Molecule: ribosomal RNA, 369 nt
Filed under: uncultured bacterium
Lineage: Bacteria
Description: bacterial SSU rRNA
Rfam family: Bacterial small subunit ribosomal RNA
Source: RNAcentral